UACGGGGGGGGCAAGCGUUGUUCGGAAUUACUGGGCGUAAAGGGCUCGUAGGUGGCCAACUAAGUCAGACGUGAAAUCCCUCGGCUUAACCGGGGAACUGCGUCUGAUACUGGAUGGCUUGAGUUUGGGAGAGGGAUGCGGAAUUCCAGGUGUAGCGGUGAAAUGCGUAGAUAUCUGGAGGAACACCGGUGGCGAAGGCGGGUCUCUGGGCCGAUAUUGACGCUGAGGAGCGAAAGCGUGGGGAGCGAACAGG
Molecule: ribosomal RNA, 253 nt
Filed under: uncultured bacterium
Lineage: Bacteria
Description: partial 16S ribosomal RNA
Rfam family: Bacterial small subunit ribosomal RNA
Source: RNAcentral